UUCGCCCUUAGAGUUUGAUCCUGGCUCAGGACGAACGCUGGCGGCGUGCCUAACACAUGCAAGUCGAACGGGACUUAGUGGAAUGCGAUUUCGGUCAAAGGAAACUAAGUUUAGUGGCGAACGGGUGAGUAACGCGUGAGAAACCUGCCUCUCAGUGGGGACAACAGUUGGAAACGACUGCUAAUACCGCAUAACAUGUUUUAACCGCAUGGUUUAAACAUCAAAGCUUAAUGUGCUGAGAGAUGGUCUCGCGUCUGAUUAGCUAGUUGGUGGGGUAACGGCCCACCAAGGCGACGAUCAGUAGCCGGUCUGAGAGGAUGAACGGCCACAUUGGGACUGAGAUACGGCCCAGACUCCUACGGGAGGCAGCAGUGGGGAAUAUUGGGCAAUGGGGGAAACCCUGACCCAGCAACGCCGCGUGAAGGAAGAAGGCUUUCGGGUUGUAAACUUCUUUUACCAGGGACGAAGGACGUGACGGUACCUGGAGAAAAAGCAACGGCUAACUACGUGCCAGCAGCCGCGGUAAUACGUAGGUUGCAAGCGUUGUCCGGAAUUACUGGGUGUAAAGGGCGUGUAGGCGGAGAUGCAAGUUGGGAGUGAAAUCCAUGGGCUCAACCCAUGAACUGCUUUCAAAACUGCAUCCCUUGAGUAUCGGAGAGGCAAGCGGAAUUCCUAGUGUAGCGGUGAAAUGCGUAGAUAUUAGGAGGAACACCAGUGGCGAAGGCGGCUUGCUGGACGACAACUGACGCUGAGGCGCGAAAGCGUGGGGAGCAAACAGGAUUAGAUACCCUGGUAGUCCACGCUGUAAACGACGAAUACUAGGUGUGGGGGGACUGACCCCCUCCGUGCCGCAGUUAACACAAUAAGUAUUCCACCUGGGGAGUACGACCGCAAGGUUGAAACUCAAAGGAAUUGACGGGGGCCCGCACAAGCAGUGGAUUAUGUGGUUUAAUUCGACGCAACGCGAAGAACCUUACCAGGAUUUGACAUCCAACUAACGAAGUAGAGAUACAUUAGGUGCCCUUCGGGGAAAGUUGAGACAGGUGGUGCAUGGUUGUCGUCAGCUCGUGUCGUGAGAUGUUGGGUUAAGUCCCGCAACGAGCGCAACCCCUAUUGUUAGUUGCUACGCAAGAGCACUCUAGCGAGACUGCCGUUGACAAAACGGAGGAAGGCGGGGACGACGUCAAAUCAUCAUGCCCCUUAUGUCCUGGGCUACACACGUAAUACAAUGGCCGUCAACAAAGGGAAGCAAUACUGCGAAGUGGAGCAAAUCCCCAAAAACGGUCUCAGUUCGGAUUGCAGGCUGCAACUCGCCUGCAUGAAGUUGGAUUCGCUAGUAAUCGCGCAUCAGCCAUGGCGCGGUGAAUACGUUCCCGGGCCUUGCACACAACGGCCGUCA
This 1399-nucleotide ribosomal RNA is filed under the name uncultured bacterium. RNAcentral's name for it is "16S ribosomal RNA". It matches the Rfam family "Bacterial small subunit ribosomal RNA". The record is from RNAcentral.